CCUACGGGAGGCAGCAGUGGGGAAUAUUGCACAAUGGGGGAAACCCUGAUGCAGCGACGCCGCGUGAGUGAAGAAGUAUUUCGGUAUGUAAAGCUCUAUCAGCAGGGAAGAAAAUGACGGUACCUGAUUAAGCAGCCCCGGCUAACUACGUGCCAGCAGCCGCUGUCAUCCGUAGGGGGCACGCGUUAUCCGGAUGUACUGGGGGUAAAGGGAGCGUAGACGGCAGCACAAGUCUGGAGUGAAAUACCCGGGCUUAACCCCGGAACUGCUGUGGAAACUGUGCAGCUAGAGUGCAGGAGAGGUAAGUGGAAUGCCUAGUGUAGCGGUGAAAUGCGUAGAUAUUAGGAAGAACACCAGUGGCGAAGGCAGCUUUCUGGACUGCAACUGACGUUGAGGCACGAAAGCGCGGGGAGCAAACAGGAUUAGAUACCCGUGUAGUC
RNAcentral lists this ribosomal RNA (440 nucleotides) under uncultured bacterium. RNAcentral describes it as "partial 16S ribosomal RNA". It matches the Rfam family "Bacterial small subunit ribosomal RNA", at positions 338 to 795 of the family's 1533-position model. The record is from RNAcentral.